This 266-nucleotide long non-coding RNA is filed under the name Gallus gallus (chicken). Lineage: Eukaryota; Metazoa; Chordata; Aves; Galliformes; Phasianidae. The record is from RNAcentral.
ACAGACAGCUGGUAUCAGCUGAGGAUGGAAGUACUGCUACUCUAAUAUACACUUUAGAGCCAAGGGGGACAGAAAACACUGGAAGAUUUCUGAGCUGGACUAUGAUUAUCACAAAACUUGAAUUGCUGUGGUCAUAUCUGAGUCCUAUUUGAACUUGGGCAGCCUCUAGUGCUGUUGCAUCAUCUUCACUGUAUACAAUGUCCUCAGUUUCAUUUAGGUGUUUCACUGAAGCUUCGUAUACACCACUAUCUCCAGCUACAGACUCA